UCGGCGUGCUUAACACAUGCAAGUCGAACGAUUAACCCGCCCUCGGGCGGUUAUAGAGUGGCGAACGGGUGAGUAACACGUGACCAACCUGCCCCUUGCUCCGGGACAACCCAGGGAAACCUCGGCUAAUACCGGAUACUCCGCGCAGCCCGCAUGGGAGGCGCGGGAAAGCCCAGACGGCAAGGGAUGGGGUCGCGGCCCAUUAGGUAGACGGCGGGGUAACGGCCCACCGUGCCCGCGAUGGGUAGCCGGGUUGAGAGACCGAUCGGCCACAUUGGGACUGAGAUACGGCCCAGACUCC
RNAcentral lists this ribosomal RNA (301 nucleotides) under uncultured Coriobacteriaceae bacterium. RNAcentral's name for it is "bacterial SSU rRNA". It matches the Rfam family "Bacterial small subunit ribosomal RNA", at positions 40 to 339 of the family's 1533-position model. The record is from RNAcentral. Lineage: Bacteria; Bacillati; Actinomycetota; Coriobacteriia; Coriobacteriales; Coriobacteriaceae.